RNAcentral lists this ribosomal RNA (489 nucleotides) under Triticum aestivum (bread wheat). RNAcentral describes it as "partial small subunit ribosomal RNA". Lineage: Eukaryota; Viridiplantae; Streptophyta; Magnoliopsida; Poales; Poaceae. The record is from RNAcentral.
AUGCUUUGCAAAUCCAUAGGGAAGCUCCUGUUACCAUCAGCUACUUGGCGAGCAAUCAUUGCGGGCAGUGAAGCGCUUAAGGGUGGUCUCAUUCGUCGUAUCGGUGAUGGUAUGACGACGGAGGUGUGGCAUGACAAUUGGAUACAAGGAACUCCCAGUUUACGACCAGUCUGCAGAUUGUCUGAUGAUUAUGUACAUCUUGUUGCGGACCUAUUAGAUGAAGUAGGGGAGUGGAAUGAGGAGCUCGUCAGCAAGCUGUUAAUUGCCCCUGACGUUUGUGCAAUCUUAAACAUGUCGAGGCCAAGAACAUCUUCGGAUGACUUUUGGGCCUGGGGUUUUGAAAGGUCGGGUAGAUUUACUGUUCGUUCAGCAUACCGAAUACUUAUGGACAGAAAUGGUACUGCACCGGACCGGACCGUGCUAGUAGCUCUUCGCUUGGGGAACCUACUUGGAAAGCUCUUUGGAAGCUACAUGUCCAACCUAAGAUAA